This 253-nucleotide ribosomal RNA is filed under the name uncultured bacterium. RNAcentral describes it as "partial 16S ribosomal RNA". It matches the Rfam family "Bacterial small subunit ribosomal RNA", at positions 524 to 776 of the family's 1533-position model. The record is from RNAcentral.
GACAGAGGGUGCAACCGUUGUUCGGAUUUACUGGGCGUAAAGCGUGUGUAGGCGGCUUUGCAUGUCGGAUGUGAAAGCCCACGGCUCAACCGUGGAAGUGCAUCCGAAACUGCAUCGCUGGAGUCCCGGAGAGGAAGGUGGAAUGCUUGGUGUAGAGGUGAAAUUCGUAGAUAUCAAGCAGAACACCUGCGGCGAAGGCGGCCUUCUGGACGGUGACUGACGCUGAGACACGAAAGCGUGGGGAGCAAACAGG